CUCACCGUUCCUCGGCUUCCCGGGUGUCCCGGCGUCAGCUAGGGAUGUCCCAACACCCGCAGGUCACAGGGUGGCCGAGGCUGCUGCAGAGCCACCGGGGCUCCCAGAGCCAGGAAGUAGCAGCGGAGACUCACAGGAAGAGCCUACGGUGGCGAAGGCGAGACAAAGCGCCCGCCAGCCGGAUCCCGGAAGCCGCCCUCUCCUUUCCGGCGGCACGCCUGAUUGACGGGCCCCCACCCCAGUGUUCCUGAUUGUCUGGGGCUUCAGGCCCCGCCCCCUCAGGCCCUGAGUGACAGGAGAUUGCGAUCUCACGUGAGGCUGGAUGUGGCCAGAAUGACCGUUUUGGCCUAGCGGUUUAUAGGGGGGAGACAGGAGACAUCAAUCAACAUAUGUAAGAUGAACACUGGUUUGAUCCGGUACAACCUGAAGCAAAAGUGGGUCAACUCGAAGCCAGGAGGGGGCUUCCAGGUCACAGAUUAGAAGAUAAUUCUGAAACAAAUGCCAGCCACUCUUUAAUUACAAAAAUGACGGAUGGACUGUAUCAUCAUGUGCCUGAGAAUCAUUGUGUUUUAAAGGACUUGGAUCAUCUUCCUACUGAGACGUGGCCCCAGCUGCUCCGUGAGCUCUGCAGCACACCCUUUCCUACCCUCUUCUGCCCCAGGAUUGUGCUGGAAGUGCUUCUUGUGCUCCAAAGCAUCGGCAAGCAGUGUCACCACGUGUCUGGCCAGGUCACCAUUGCCUCGGAGCUGAGACACAGGCAGUGGGUGGAGAGGACGCUGCGGUCUCGCCAGCGGCAGAACUACCUGCGUAUAUGGAGUAGGUGUGCGCUCACUUUC
Macaca mulatta (Rhesus monkey) is the source of this 836-nucleotide non-coding RNA. NCBI's taxonomy places the organism in Eukaryota, Metazoa, Chordata, Mammalia, Primates, Cercopithecidae. The record is from RefSeq and is a predicted model, not a curated record.